GCCGUAUCAGGCCGAGGGAUCCUGCGGGCUCGGCCGAGCGGCAGCACCUGCCCUCGAGGGUGGUCUCCGCGGACCGAGGCGUGCCGGGCCGUGCGGAGAGGCGCGGCCCAGAUGGCUACAUCAGAGGGUCUGUUGUUUGUUUCUAGAUUGUCAGUGGAGCUCCACUCCUGUGCGGGCAAUUUUAAUUAACACUAACUACUAAAGGGCCGCUCCAGGCACUUGGCGCAUGUGGCUCGCACCUGCCUGCAAUGCGCCGCGCGGGCCGCCCGCUGAUGGCCAUGCGGAGCCUCCCCGCUUUGCUCUGGCGCCGAAGCGCUGGGAUUGGGACCGCCCUUCCUCCGGACCAGCUCACCCUGGAAAAGCUGGGAAAGCUGGGGUUGCUUUUUCGGGUUUCCUCGGACUCUGGGUCUCCGUUGGCAAAGACAUGCCCAGUCGGGAGGAGUAAGGCCUGAGAGAGUUGUUUUAUUACUUGGGUGAGUUGGCUCCCCAGGCUUUUGAGAUACCUGCCUUUUGUCCAGCACUGCAUCGUCCUCGCAUAUCCAAGGCCGUGUCUCCCUUCAGCAUCACCACUCGGUAGUUAUAAUUCCGCCUUUUAUCUGAAGCUGAUACAUUUUCAUCGGCAUCAGACCGUAUUUCUAUGUAUUCAAUAUCUGACACAGAAAAAAGAAUAUUUUAAAGGAA
Molecule: non-coding RNA, 681 nt
Organism: Macaca mulatta (Rhesus monkey)
Lineage: Eukaryota; Metazoa; Chordata; Mammalia; Primates; Cercopithecidae
Source: RefSeq, a predicted model, not a curated record